ACGAACGCUGGCGGCGUGCUUCACCCGUGCCAGUCGCACGGAAAGGCCCUGCUUUUGUGGGGUGCUCGAGUGGCGAACGGGUGAGUAACACGUGAGUAACCUGCCCUUGACUUUGGGAUAACUUCAGGAAACUGGGGCUAAUACCGGAUAGGAGCUCCUGCUGCAUGGUGGGGGUUGGAAAGUUUCGGCGGUUGGGGAUGGACUCGCGGCUUAUCAGCUUGUUGGUGGGGUAGUGGCUUACCAAGGCUUUGACGGGUAGCCGGCCUGAGAGGGUGACCGGCCACAUUGGGACUGAGAUACGGCCCAGACUCCUACGGGAGGCAGCAGUGGGGAAUAUUGCACAAUGGGCGGAAGCCUGAUGCAGCAACGCCGCGUGCGGGAUGACGGCCUUCGGGUUGUAAACCGCUUUCGCCUGUGACGAAGCGUGAGUGACGGUAAUGGGUAAAGAAGCACCGGCUAACUACGUG
RNAcentral lists this ribosomal RNA (467 nucleotides) under uncultured bacterium. Its description in RNAcentral is "partial 16S ribosomal RNA". It matches the Rfam family "Bacterial small subunit ribosomal RNA", at positions 29 to 507 of the family's 1533-position model. The record is from RNAcentral.